Molecule: unclassified non-coding RNA, 275 nt
Filed under: uncultured Cryptocoryneum
Lineage: Eukaryota; Fungi; Ascomycota; Dothideomycetes; Pleosporales
Description: sequence contains ITS1
Rfam family: 5.8S ribosomal RNA (bases 1-105)
Source: RNAcentral
GAAAUGCGAUAAGUAGUGUGAAUUGCAGAAUUCAGUGAAUCAUCGAAUCUUUGAACGCACAUUGCGCCCUUUGGUAUUCCUUAGGGCAUGCCUGUUCGAGCGUCAUCUAAACCCUCAAGCACUGCUUGGUGUUGGGCGUUUGUCCCCCGCGGACUCGCCUCAAAAGCAUUGGCAGCCCCCGGCGCAGCGCAGCACUCGCGCCCCAGACCGGCGGCGUCCACAAGACCACCCCCAAGUUUGACCUCGGAUCAGGUAGGGAUACCCGCUGAACUUAA